AGUGAACGCUGGCGGUAGGCCUAACACAUGCAAGUCGAACGGCAGCACAGUAAGAGCUUGCUCUUACGGGUGGCGAGUGGCGGACGGGUGAGGAAUACAUCGGAAUCUACUUUUUCGUGGGGGAUAACGUAGGGAAACUUACGCUAAUACCGCAUACGACCUACGGGUGAAAGCAGGGGAUCUUCGGACCUUGCGCGAUUGAAUGAGCCGAUGUCGGAUUAGCUAGUUGGCGGGGUAAAGGCCCACCAAGGCGACGAUGCGUAGCUGGUCUGAGAGGAUGAUCAGCCACACUGGAACUGAGACACGGUCCAGACUCCUACGGGAGGCAGCAGUGGGGAAUAUUGCGCAAUGGGCGAAAGCCUGAUCCAGCCAUACCGCGUGGGUGAAGAAGGCCUUCGGGUUGUAAAGCCCUUUUGUUGGGAAAGAACAGCAGCAGGUUAAUACCCCGCUGUUCUGACGGUACCCAAAGAAUAAGCACCGGCUAACUUCGUG
RNAcentral lists this ribosomal RNA (492 nucleotides) under uncultured bacterium. Its description in RNAcentral is "partial 16S ribosomal RNA". It matches the Rfam family "Bacterial small subunit ribosomal RNA", at positions 29 to 507 of the family's 1533-position model. The record is from RNAcentral.